GUAGGGAAUCUUCCGCAAUGGACGAAAGUCUGACGGAGCAACGCCGCGUGAGUGAUGAAGGUUUUCGGAUCGUAAAACUCUGUUGUUAGGGAAGAACAAGUACAAGAGUAACUGCUUGUACCUUGACGGUACCUAACCAGAAAGCCACGGCUAACUACGUGCCAGCAGCCGCGGUAAUACGUAGGUGGCAAGCGUUGUCCGGAAUUAUUGGGCGUAAAGCGCGCGCAGGCGGUCCUUUAAGUCUGAUGUGAAAGCCCACGGCUCAACCGUGGAGGGUCAUUGGAAACUGGGGGACUUGAGUGCAGAAGAGAAGAGUGGAAUUCCACGUGUAGCGGUGAAAUGCGUAGAGAUGUGGAGGAACACCAGUGGCGAAGGCGACUCUUUGGUCUGUAACUGACGCUGAGGCGCGAAAGCGUGGGGAGCAAACAGGAUUAGAAACCCUAGUAGUCC
RNAcentral lists this ribosomal RNA (450 nucleotides) under uncultured bacterium. Its description in RNAcentral is "bacterial SSU rRNA". It matches the Rfam family "Bacterial small subunit ribosomal RNA", at positions 354 to 796 of the family's 1533-position model. The record is from RNAcentral.